GAAUCCGCUAAGGAGUGUGUAACAACUCACCUGCCGAAUGAACUAGCCCUGAAAAUGGAUGACGCUUAAGCGGGUUGCCGACACCAGACCGUUUUGAUAAGAAGCGAUCGAAAUGAGUAGGAGGGCGUGGCGGUUUUGUUGUGAAGGAUGAGACGCAAGUCUAUCUGAAACGGCCGCUAGUGCAGAUCUUGGUGGUAGUAGCAAAUAUUCAAGCGAGAUCCUUGAAGGGCGAAGCGGGGAAGGGUUCCACGCGAACAUUGAUUGGGCGUGGGUGAGUCGUUCCUAAGCCGGGUGGUAAUCGUUCUUCGAUCGGCGAAAGGGAAGCGGGUUAAAAUUCUCGCACACGGAUGUGGAGGCGGUGACGCAAAUUGAGGUGGAGACGUUAGCGGUGGCACUGGGCAGAGUUUUCUUUUCUGUUUAACCUGUGAGUGCACUCUGUGGAAUCCGAUUAUCGGGCGAAACAGGUGCUUAUGGGAAGAGCGUCGGGGCGUCCCCGGCGUCCAGUACGCCACCGAUAGCCCUUGAAAAUCCAUCUGCAAUGAAAUUUCACGCCGUGGCGUACCGAUAACCGCAUCAGGUCCCCAAGGUGAACAGCCUCUGCUCAAUAUGAACAAUGCAGGUAAGGGAAGUCGGCA
This 635-nucleotide ribosomal RNA is filed under the name Porolithon onkodes. RNAcentral describes it as "eukaryotic LSU rRNA". It matches the Rfam family "Eukaryotic large subunit ribosomal RNA", at positions 1264 to 1919 of the family's 3401-position model. Lineage: Eukaryota; Rhodophyta; Florideophyceae; Corallinales; Porolithaceae. The record is from RNAcentral.